This 410-nucleotide ribosomal RNA is filed under the name uncultured microorganism. Its description in RNAcentral is "bacterial SSU rRNA". It matches the Rfam family "Bacterial small subunit ribosomal RNA", at positions 509 to 917 of the family's 1533-position model. The record is from RNAcentral.
CAGCCUCCGCGGUAAUACGUAGGGUGCGAGCGUUAAUCGGAUUUACUGGGCGUAAAGCGUGCGCAGGCGGCCCGUUAAGACAGGUGUGAAAUCCCUGGGCUCAACCUAGGAAUUGCGCUUGUGACUGGCGGGCUCGAGUACGGUAGAGGGGGGUGGAAUUCCUGGUGUAGCAGUGAAAUGCGUAGAGAUCAGGAGGAACACCGAUGGCGAAGGCAGCCCCCUGGGCCUGUACUGACGCUCAUGCACGAAAGCGUGGGGAGCAAACAGGAUUAGAUACCCUGGUAGUCCACGCCCUAAACGAUGGGUACUAGCCGUUUGGUGCGCGAUAGCGCUGAGUGGCGAAGCUAACGCGUGAAGUACCCCGCCUGGGGAGUACGGCCGCAAGGUUGAAACUUAAAGGAAUUGGCGGG